CAAGGCGACGAUGGUUAGCUGGUCUGAGAGGAUGAUCAGCCACACUGGAACUGAGACACGGUCCAGACUCCUACGGGAGGCAGCAGUGAGGAAUAUUGCGCAAUGGGGGCAACCCUGACGCAGCAACGCCGCGUGAGUGAGGAAGGUUUUCGGACCGUAAAGCUCUGUCGAGCGGGAAGAAAUGCAUGGUGGCUAAUAUCCAUCAUGCUUGACGGUACCGCUAAAGGAAGCACCGGCUAACUCCGUGCCAGCAGCCGCGGUAAUACGGGGGGUGCGAGCGUUGUUCGGAAUUAUUGGGCGUAAAGAGCGUGUAGGCGGCCGAAUAAGUCAGAUGUGAAAUCCCUGGGCUUAACCCAGGACGUGCAUUUGAAACUAUUCGGCUAGAGUAGGGGAGAGGAAAGUGGAAUUCCUGGUGUAGAGGUGAAAUUCGUAGAUAUCAGGAGGAACACCGGUGGCGAAGGCGACUUUCUGGCCCUAUACUGACGCUGAGACGCGAGAGCGUGGGUAGCAAACAGGAUUAGAUACCCUGGUAGUCCACGCUGUAAACGAUGUUCACUAGGUGUUGGGGGUAUUGACCCUCUCAGUGCCGCAGCUAACGCA
This 600-nucleotide ribosomal RNA is filed under the name uncultured bacterium. Its description in RNAcentral is "bacterial SSU rRNA". It matches the Rfam family "Bacterial small subunit ribosomal RNA", at positions 269 to 859 of the family's 1533-position model. The record is from RNAcentral.